This is a long non-coding RNA of Tyto alba (common barn owl), 674 nucleotides long. RefSeq lists it as uncharacterized. NCBI's taxonomy places the organism in Eukaryota, Metazoa, Chordata, Aves, Strigiformes, Tytonidae. The transcript is spliced from 2 exons. The record is from RefSeq and is a predicted model, not a curated record.
UGCAUUGUGGUUGGCUGCCAAUCAGGCCCAAACCACGACAGAGGACCAAGAAGGAAGAGCUGCCCUAUGGGCUUGGAACCCAGGAGAAAGGAGACAGGCUGCAUGCAUGAUGGAGCAAAGGAUAGCCUGGAGGCGUGUCACCAUGAGACGUACACAGCUGACAGUCCAAAGCCACAGCCUUUAGCACAAACACUAUCUGGACAAGCCAGGCUGAAAGCCCCUGCGUGGAGCGCUGCUGGGAGCGAAGGAGAGGGCGAUAGCGCAGCCGGUGAUGCCAUCUAGCUGCUGUGCUGCCUCCAGGGGAUGCUUGCCAUGGUGGUGGGCCCAUCAGCCUGCAUGGACCUUCCUAAAACAACUUCUAGCUAUUUUUCCUUCCACUGGAAAAUAGGUUUGUUUUCACUCAAGGCAUGAGAUGAAAGGCUGGUGUUUCUGCACCAGUUGUGUUUUAUUAUACUUUCAAUCCAUUCUUGUUUUAUUCAUCCUGCUUCUCUCCUUUCUUCUGAUUUUAAUUGGUUCUGAUUUUAGUCAGAUGCCGCUGUGAUUGCCUCUAAUUCCCUUUCCACCAAUACUGGAAAUAUUCUACUUUCCCUUCUCACUACCUGCACACCAUCAGCCAGCUUUCCCCUGCCUUUGACCUCCCUGGUAAUAAAUAUAACUAUUAAUUUCACAAGGCA